UGCUCCCGGAUGUUAGCGGCGGACGGGUGAGUAACACGUGGGUAACCUGCCUGUAAGACUGGGAUAACUCCGGGAAACCGGAGCUAAUACCGGAUAGUUCCUUGAACCGCAUGGUUCAAGGAUGAAAGACGGUUUCGGCUGUCACUUACAGAUGGACCCGCGGCGCAUUAGCUAGUUGGUGAGGUAACGGCUCACCAAGGCGACGAUGCGUAGCCGACCUGAGAGGGUGAUCGGCCACACUGGGACUGAGACACGGCCCAGACUCCUACGGGAGGCAGCAGUAGGGAAUCUUCCGCAAUGGACGAAAGUCUGACGGAGCAACGCCGCGUGAGUGAUGAAGGUUUUCGGAUCGUAAAGCUCUGUUGUUAGGGAAGAACAAGUGCAAGAGUAACUGCUUGCACCUUGACGGUACCUAACCAGAAAGCCACGGCUAACUACGUGCCAGCAGCCGCGGUAAUACGUAGGUGGCAAGCGUUGUCCGGAAUUAUUGGGCGUAAAGGGCUCGCAGGCGGUUUCUUAAGUCUGAUGUGAAAGCCCCCGGCUCAACCGGGGAGGGUCAUUGGAAACUGGGAAACUUGAGUGCAGAAGAGGAGAGUGGAAUUCCACGUGUAGCGGUGAAAUGCGUAGAGAUGUGGAGGAACACCAGUGGCGAAGGCGACUCUCUGGUCUGUAACUGACGCUGAGGAGCGAAAGCGUGGGGAGCGAACAGGAUUAGAUACCCUGGUAGUCCACGCCGUAAACGAUGAGUGCUAAGUGUUAGGGGGUUUCCGCCCCUUAGUGCUGCAGCUAACGCAUUAAGC
Molecule: ribosomal RNA, 800 nt
Filed under: Bacillus aerius
Lineage: Bacteria; Bacillati; Bacillota; Bacilli; Caryophanales; Bacillaceae
Also listed under: 1 other name
Description: bacterial SSU rRNA
Rfam family: Bacterial small subunit ribosomal RNA
Source: RNAcentral